RNAcentral lists this microRNA (22 nucleotides) under Pongo abelii (Sumatran orangutan). RNAcentral describes it as "Pab-Mir-4664_3p* (star (passenger))". Lineage: Eukaryota; Metazoa; Chordata; Mammalia; Primates; Hominidae. The record is from RNAcentral. RNAcentral also lists the same sequence under 1 other name.
CUUCCGGUCUGUGAGCCCCGUC